AGACACCUACGUAUUCCUGCGUCUGCUGUGCAACCACUUCAUCAUCAGAGUAAUCCACAAUGGCGUAGGCGGCGUUUCCGGGCCGAUGCCCGACCCCCACGCCCAGCAACCGUUCCGAUAGCCCACUGUUCCGAACCGCCGGUGGUCCACGCCCCAUACAGAUUGUACACUAGCGGGCAGGAAGCACAAGCCCCUCCCAGUAGAGAACCAGACCGGCGUUAGUAUUCCGCCGUGGGGCGUCCGGUCGGCAGCCUAAAGACAUAAAAGGAAUUUCCGGGGACCCGCACAAGCAGUGGAUUGUGUUCUCUAAUGCGAUGAUAAACGAAGAGCCUUACCAGGGUUGGACAUCCCAAGAAUUAUGUGGAAAGACGUGAGUGCUUUAUUGAACUUGGUGACAGGUGAUGCAUGGCCGUCGUCAGCUCGUGUCGUGAGAUGUUCGGUUAAGUCCAUCAACGAGCGCAACCCUUGUCAGUAGUUGGAUUUUUCUACUGAGACUGCCCCGGCAACGGGGAGGAAGGAGGGGAUGAUGUCAGGUCAGUAUUUCCCUUACAUCCUGGGCUAGAAACGCAAUACAAUGGCGAGUACAAUGCGCAGCGAAGCGGCAACGUGAAGCAAAUCGCAUCAAAGCUCGUCCCAGUUCGGAUUAGAGGCUGAAACUCGCCUCUAUGAAGUCGGAAUCGCUAGUAAUCGCAGAUCAGCAAGCUGCGGUGAAUACGUUCCCGGGUCUUGUACACACCGCCCGUCAAACCAUGAAAGUGACCAACACCCGAAGUCCGAUUCGUCGGCCUAAGGUGGGGGGCAUGAUUGGGGUUAAGUCGUAACAAGGUAAAUGCCA
This 835-nucleotide ribosomal RNA is filed under the name uncultured low G+C Gram-positive bacterium. RNAcentral describes it as "bacterial SSU rRNA". The stretch from base 233 to 832 matches the Rfam family "Bacterial small subunit ribosomal RNA", at positions 874 to 1520 of the family's 1533-position model. Lineage: Bacteria; Bacillati; Bacillota. The record is from RNAcentral.